Molecule: ribosomal RNA, 259 nt
Filed under: uncultured Mesorhizobium sp.
Lineage: Bacteria; Pseudomonadati; Pseudomonadota; Alphaproteobacteria; Hyphomicrobiales; Phyllobacteriaceae
Description: partial 16S ribosomal RNA
Rfam family: Bacterial small subunit ribosomal RNA
Source: RNAcentral
CGCCCCGCAAGGGGAGCGGCAGACGGGUGAGUAACGCGUGGGAAUCUACCCAUCACUACGGAACAACUCCGGGAAACUGGAGCUAAUACCGUAUACGUCCUUCGGGAGAAAGAUUUAUCGGUGAUGGAUGAGCCCGCGUUGGAUUAGCUAGUUGGUGGGGUAAUGGCCUACCAAGGCGACGAUCCAUAGCUGGUCUGAGAGGAUGAUCAGCCACACUGGGACUGAGACACGGCCCAGACUCCUACGGGAGGCAGCAGGC